Molecule: ribosomal RNA, 294 nt
Filed under: uncultured eukaryote
Lineage: Eukaryota
Description: partial 18S ribosomal RNA
Rfam family: Eukaryotic small subunit ribosomal RNA
Source: RNAcentral
CCCUUUGAUACUCUGGGCGGCACGCGCGCUACACUGGUUUAUAUAACGUGUAAUUUGGGCGAUAGUCUGUAUAAAUCACUAAUAUAAAACCGUGAAUGGGAUAGUUUAUUGCAACUUACAAACUUUAACUAGGAAUCCCUUGUAGAAGUAGUGAAUUAUACUGCUUCGAAUACGUCCCUGCCGAUUGUACACACCGCCCGUCGUUUCUUCCGACUGGUACUCAUUGUGAAUUGCGAGGAGAUUCUGUCAAAUCGUUGUAAAUGCUGGGUAUUGGAGGAAGAAAAAGUCGUAACA